RNAcentral lists this long non-coding RNA (3456 nucleotides) under Sus scrofa (pig). RNAcentral's name for it is "lncRNA (ENSSSCG00065036764.1)". The record is from RNAcentral. Lineage: Eukaryota; Metazoa; Chordata; Mammalia; Artiodactyla; Suidae.
GCUCAAUCAAGGCACUCAGACUGCAAGCAUCAGAAAAAGAUGCCCUGAAAACUUUGAACCUAUAUAAUAAGUAAUGGCAGACAUGUAUGUUAUGGGCUUUAGCACAGAUAGGGUUCUACCUUUUUUUUUUUUUUAAUUUUUAUGGUUAUACCUAUGACAUAUGGAGGUUCUUGGGCCAAUAAUCAAAUCAGAGCUGCAGCUGCAGCCUAUACCACAGCCCCGACAAAACUGAGUUGUUUUUGUUUUUUGUUUUUGUUUUUUGCUUUUUAGGUCUGCAUAUGGAAGUUCCCAGGCGAGGGGUCAAAUAGGAACUGCAGCUGCCGACCUACACCACAACCACAGCAACGCAGGAUCUGAGCUGCAUCUGCGACCUACACCACAGUUCACAGCAACAACUCCUUAACCCUUAGAGUGAGGCCAGGGAUUGAACCUGUGUCCUCAUGGAUACUAGACAGGUUCAUUACUUCCGAGCCACAAUGGGAACUCCCUGAGAUGCAUCUUUGAUGUAUGGUGCAGCUUGUAGCAGUGCCAGAUCCCUUAAGCCACUGAGUGAGGCCAGGGAUAAAACCUGCAUCUUCGUGGACACUGCAAUGCCAGAUCCCUUAACCCACUGAGCCACAGUGGGAGCUCUGAGUUCGCCUUUUCACAGUGAUGGUCAGUGACAAAAUUUUCAGAGCCGCUCCCAAGGAAGGAUUCAUUAAAACUAACUCUCAUCCAGGAUGGGAAGUAUAUAAGGCUGGGUAUUCUCUGAACUCGUUACCUUUCCUCUGUUACCCAACUUUGAACCUCCCUACCCAAACCUCUCCCUUCCCCCGUGGCCUUUGUUAGAUGCCUAUAUUGUGUCAGGCACGAAUCCAAGUUAGAAAAUUGUCCCAAGGACCAAAGGGGCCUCCUGGGGCACCAAGCAUACGGAGAGCUCAUGCUUCGAGUGACCAAAGUCAGGAGACUGCAGGGAUCCUUCAGUCACACGUGGUGGGAAAUCGAGGCAGAAACCCAGACGAACUGAACGGAGAAGAGGACAGGUAGAAGCCCAAGGGCACAAAGUCAUUGUACCUCAUUCCUUUUGCACAGGUCACCUGAUGUGUAGAGCACCAAAGAGGAACUCUAAAGCGACGCUUCUGAAAGACCCGUCCCCGCCCCCCCCGCCCCGCCCCCCUCGCCCCGCCCCCCUGGCUGCAUCUCUCCUGAUUGGAUUGGAGGCUUGGUCGGGUAGAUGGCUGUCAGUCAAGUCAGCUUGGGAGAGCUGGUCCAGCUUGCAUGUGGAUAAGCUGCCGGUGGAUUCCCGAGGUGUUCUUUGCUAUCAAGUCACCAGAGAAGCCCCAGGAGAUGUGUUACGUAAGCCAUUGGAAACAGCAGCGAUCCAUAAGAACGGCAGAUUCUGUCCUCAGAGAACCUUGAGAAGAACAGGGGAUUGCUAUCAAGCAAAGAUUUAUUCAACGGAUUAAUUAGCUAAUAUUGCGCAAUCCCCCAAGGAUGCGUGGGAUGGAAGUGACAGCCGCUUGAAGCAUCCCUUCUCACAGAGUCACCGCCUGCAGAAAACUUGACCAUGAGUUGACUGGACCUGCAGCAGAUAAGGGAGCACAAUAAAUGCAUUUCUGUGCGGAUCCGGAUACACUAGGAUUCGACGUUGUGUGUUAUUAUGCUAUAGAACGUAAUAACCUCUUGUGACCUUUGCAACAACUGGAGUUAAGCCUCCAGAUAUUAGGGACUUCAGAAAUAAGCAGGGACCCAAGCUGCCCUGGUAAGGGAAGGUUGUGGCACUGGCACAAGACCUGUCUUGGACAGAAUCCAGUGGAAUAAGAGGUGCUUCAAACUUGAUCAGAAGGGAGGAAGGCAUGGAGCUGGUUUGAAAGGACUGAAAUAUGCUGAGCACAGCUGAAAUUCCCCUCGGGAUUCCCAGGGCUUGUCUGUUUUCCACAGAGGGUGUUGCUAAGGAUGAUGAUGUUUAGAAAUUGUUCUUAGGCAACCAAAUGUUUGAAGUGGCAGGAUCCUUGAGAAACUGGGUCUCGUCACCAGCAGGAGAAUAAUAACUUCUGAGUAAGAGAAUAACUUCAAAGGAAAGGGUGCUCCCGUGAAAACACCUCGUGGAGAUAAUUAGUAUAAAGUUAUAGAGAGACUUAAGUUAGGUUUUCAGAGCAGCUUUCACAUUUUUAACUUCUUUUUAAAGUUUUUUUGUCCCACUUGUACAUAUGUCAUGAUACCCAACACCCUGGGAAUUUUGCCCUGAAUUUCUUUCUAUGUUCGUAAAACUGGUGGACUUUAUGCAGAACAUUCUACACGAUGACCUAUUGAGUACUUUCCUUUAAAAGCUAAAAGACAUCAAGCCCUAAGUAAAUGGCCUGUCCUUCCUUUUUCCUAGACCCUAUUCUAUUCUCUUUCUUACAAAGGAAUAUCCCUUGCUGCUGGAGUCCUGUCCAUCAGUGAGUUUUAUACUCUGAGUUGCCAUGUAAAUCAUACUAAAAUUUCACAGCACAGAACCCUUUCAGCCACACAUCGACACUGUAUUCUAGGGACUUUUGCUGAAGUUCAUGUUUCUCUUUUGGUGACCAGGAUCACACAGAGAACUUUUAGCCCCAUUAGCCACCUCUCUCUGAGCCCAGAUGGAAAUAAACCUUAGGAGAUCCUAAACCCACUCUCAGCACAUUUUCAGCUCUUUAGAGGCUUCCCUAGUUUUCCACCCUUCCUAGGUCAUUCCUGAGCUAAGGUUUAGUUAAGUCCUUUUUUCUUUCUGCUUUUCCCUCCCUCCCUCCGUGCCUUUCUUCUUUCCCUUCUUCCUUUCUCUGCAAACAGUUUUCUGAGGUGCUGUCACACACCUGCCACUAUUAUAGUCAGUAGACAUCUGGCAGUAAAAAGGUGAAUUCAUUGUUGCCAUAGAUGACACAUUCUCAUGAAGCAACCAGAGACGUGCACGCAAGGAUGCUGAAGCAGAGUAAAAUCAGUCGGUCACAGAAGGUUCCCUUUGAGGAGGUGACAUCAAGCUGGAAGCUGGGUGUCAAGAAGGAUGGAGCCACGCAAGGAUCUGAAGAAAUCAGAUUUAUCUUCCUUUACAGAAGAAAAGAGGAAAGUGGUAGAAGUCUUUGCUCAUUCACUUUUGUAUUCAGAAGUAAUUUUAUCUCUGCUAACCAAUGCCAAGUUUAGGAGCAGAGGAAGAAGAAGGAAUAAUAAUGAAAGAGUGGCCUUGAAGUGGCAAAAGUCUGCUCUUUCUGAAGUUGUCACAGCAAAGGAAGAGACUGAAUAAGAGGCAAGUGGUUACCAAGAAUUAUCAAUUCAUGGCAAGGAGCCUAGUGAUCUAUCUAUAUAGGCUUACCUAGCGGCAAUGUAGCCAAUUUUUACUGUAGUAUUUACUUGCAAACUAAGCCAUAAGGGGAAGACCUGAAUAAUUUGAUAUGAUUUCAGUGAUAGUUAAUAUAAUUUGCCCCAAAAUGUAUUAAAUAAAAAUAUAAUCUUUUGAAAGUG